Molecule: ribosomal RNA, 492 nt
Filed under: uncultured bacterium
Lineage: Bacteria
Description: partial 16S ribosomal RNA
Rfam family: Bacterial small subunit ribosomal RNA
Source: RNAcentral
AGUGAACGCUGGCGGUAGGCCUAACACAUGCAAGUCGAACGGCAGCACAGUAAGAGCUUGCUCUUACGGGUGGCGAGUGGCGGGCGGGUGAGGAAUACAUCGGAAUCUACUUUUUCGUGGGGGAUAACGUAGGGAAACUUACGCUAAUACCGCAUACGACCUACGGGUGAAAGCAGGGGAUCUUCGGACCUUGCGCGAUUGAAUUAGCCGAUGUCGGAUUAGCUAGUUGGCGGGGUAAAGGCCCACCAAGGCGACGAUCCGUAGCUGGUCUGAGAGGAUGAUCAGCCACACUGGAACUGAGACACGGUCCAGACUCCUACGGGAGGCAGCAGUGGGGAAUAUUGGACAAUGGGCGCAAGCCUGAUCCAGCCAUACCGCGUGGGUGAAGAAGGCCUUCGGGUUGUAAAGCCAUUUUGUUGGGAAAGAAAAGCAGCAGGUUAAUACCCCGAUGUUCUGACGGUACCCAAAGAAUAAGCACCGGCUAACUUCGUG